RNAcentral lists this small RNA (566 nucleotides) under Pongo abelii (Sumatran orangutan). RNAcentral describes it as "processed transcript". Lineage: Eukaryota; Metazoa; Chordata; Mammalia; Primates; Hominidae. The record is from RNAcentral.
GUAGGGGGGUCACGCCUCCUGGAACUCAGGGACCCCAAGUUUCUGUGCAUUCAGGGCGGGGCUGGCCCCAUGCCCUGUGCAUAGGGGCCUGGCUGCAUCCCAGUCGAUCAGCCAGAGGCAGCAGCAGUGGACUCAUCAAUUGUGGAGGAAGCCCUGGGGACCCUGGGGACCUUGCCGACUCUAUUCCUAGCCGGCUCCUAGGACGAGCCUCAGAGCCAACACCUGCUCGACCCUCUCCCGGCCCCUCCCCUUCUUUGUCUUUUGCAGAUGAUCGCCGGGUGUCCUCCUUUUCCCCCUAGUCAGAUGAGGACACUCAGAUUCAAGGACAUAAGUGACUUGUGCAUAGUCACAUAGCUAGGAGGUGGCUGCACCAGGAUUCAGAUCCAGCCUGUCUGAUGCUGACCACAUGGUCUGUGGGGUGCUGCAGAAAGAAAACUGCGUAAAGAAGGUGAUCCUGGCCUCGGGGAGUUCCUGGUGUGUGCCUCCAGCCAGCGUGGUACCCUGCAGAGGGCACUCCGACAAGGUGAGCGCUUCCGCGGCGGGGCUUCUGUAAAGAGGUCACAGCA